UCCCUAGAGGUCCAGUGGUUAAGACUGUGCUUCUAAUGCACAGGGCCCAGAUUCAAUCCCUGGUUCGGGAA
This 71-nucleotide transfer RNA is filed under the name Ovis aries (sheep). It matches the Rfam family "tRNA". From Rfam's summary of the family: Transfer RNA (tRNA) molecules are approximately 80 nucleotides in length. Their secondary structure includes four short double-helical elements and three loops (D, anti-codon, and T loops). Further hydrogen bonds mediate the characteristic L-shaped molecular structure. tRNAs have two regions of fundamental functional importance: the anti-codon, which is responsible for specific mRNA codon recognition, and the 3' end, to which the tRNAs corresponding amino acid is attached (by aminoacyl-tRNA synthetases). tRNAs cope with the degeneracy of the genetic code in two manners: having more than one tRNA (with a specific anti-codon) for a particular amino acid; and 'wobble' base-pairing, i.e. permitting non-standard base-pairing at the 3rd anti-codon position. The record is from Rfam by way of RNAcentral. Lineage: Eukaryota; Metazoa; Chordata; Mammalia; Artiodactyla; Bovidae.